Molecule: long non-coding RNA, 2791 nt
Filed under: Canis lupus familiaris (dog)
Lineage: Eukaryota; Metazoa; Chordata; Mammalia; Carnivora; Canidae
Description: lncRNA (ENSCAFG00000058188.1)
Source: RNAcentral
UUUUUUUUUGUUUUGUUUUUGAUGACCCUGACAGUAUUGAAGAAUACUGGUCUAGUACUUUGUAAAAUGUCCCUUAAUUGGAAUUUGAUGUUUUUCCCACGAUUAGACAGGUGUUACCAGUUUCUGGAAGACCACAGAAGUAAAGUGCUAUUUAUAUCAAAGGUACAUACCAUCAUCAUGACUUACCACUGUUACUAUUGACCUUGACCAUCUGGUUGAGGUAGUGUUUAUUAGGUUUCACCACUGUAAAGCAAUACAUUAUUAAGAGAUCAAAUUAGAGGUAAAGAUACUGGACAUUAACACUGAGCUAAAAAAAUUCUAAGCAGAAUCCUCAGCACUGCUAUUAGGUUCCAUUAAAUGACUGCUAACAUAUACCAUGAAGAAAAUACAAUAAACUAGAAAUUGAAAUGGGAAAAUAAAACUCCAAAACUAUAGCUUAAAUAUUCACUUAAUGGAGGUGAAAGUGAAUUUUCUGCCUUGAACUAUCUUUACUUUAUCCUCUACAUCCCUUGGAUAGUAAAGAUUUUAUUUUAAUUGUCAGAAGAGGUAAUUUAAAUCUAUUAUUUUUUGCUGAGUGCUUUUCCAUAUUGUCCUCAACAGAACAAUGAACACUGAUUAUUGAAAUAAUGUGAAAGACUUGAUUUUUUUCCCCCUUGCUCUAACCUAUUUGUCAUAUAUACAACUUCUUGCAUAUGAUUUUAGGGUGUUUGCUAAAUAUAAAAAUAAUUUCAAUGUGUUUAGUUUUGUAAAAUUUAUCAUAUCGAAUGUGUGCAAUUUUUUACUACCAUGUUCAUUGUACUUAAUCUAUAUAUCCAUAUUUUGUAGUCUGCUAAUAUUAGUGGACCAUAAAGGAGUUGUGAAUGCAUGAAUGCAACUUGAGACACAUGCUUGGUUAUUUGGCACUGUCAGAAUACUGUAGGUACUUAUAAAUUGAAUAGAUAAUCUAGAUUAUAUUUCCUCCAAUUUAAGUUGUUUUGGGUUUUUAUUUCCCCGCCCUUGAAUCUAUGUUAUCUUUUUACCUCUGUACAAAUAAUAGACUUUCUGAAAAUGCUAGAAUCUUCAAUAUGUAAUACUCAAAUUUGAGCAUGACAGUAAUGUAAGGAAAUUCAGAAGUCUCAAACUAUUUUUUUUUUUGAGUUUUCAAAGUAAAUCAAACUACAGUUGUUUUCAUUUGACUAUAUUGUGGAAACCUAUGGAUAUUAUUGUAAGAUGCACAUGCAUUACACUUUUUUAAAAUGUUUUGAAUUAAUAAAGAAUUCACCAUUGUAUCUGUAGAGCAAGUUACUGUUUCCUCAUUGGUGUAACAGAGUAAAAAGUACACUUAUUUAUAUUACUUAAAUUGCUUAUGCAUCUUAGGGAAUAUAAUUUCUGGCUGGAUUCUUUACAGUGUUCCAUAAAGUUAUCGCUUCUCACACUUUUUCACCUUUAUAAAUAAUAAAGUAUAUUCUUGAAAUAACUUGUUCUGAGAACUCAGCUGAGAGAGAUUAAUCGUGUUGAGUUCAAAUGACUCCCGCCAUUUCUAUGGUUUAAAAAAAAAAAUUCAAAGUGGAGUUUAGAUUUGGGAAAUAACUGAUUCCAAUAAAGUUAAAAAAUGGCCUGCUCAGUCCUGUUCUACACUCGGAUCAGAAUUAAAAUAAAAUGGGUUUCAACCACUAUCUCAAACAAUUUUAUUAAGUAAUGUGGCUUGAAUACACAAAGUGAAACCAAUAAUUGAGGUAAUUACUUGGAGCUUUUAAGUAGCAAUACCUAUUUUCUGCUCUAUAUAAUUUGGAGUCAUCUCAUUCCUCCACUUUGCAUUUGUCUGUAGACCUAAGGAAUGAAUUGAGACAAUGCAAGCUCACUUUACAAGAAUUUUACUUCACCUUAAUAGUUUUGAUUAGACGACUUAGGGAUGACCUAACCUUGUAAAAGGCUCCCGUAUAUACCAUUUGAUUAAAAAAAAAACAAACCAACCAAACAAAACCCCACGAGUUUACAGUAUUUCAGCUCUCUCAACAAUGAAAACAUUUAGAACAUCCUGCGCAAAGCAGUUAGGUAGUGGGAGUUCCCAGGCUGAGUCAGCCUUUGCAUCCCCAGGACUGUCUUGGUUUUAUUUAUUCCUUUAUAUCCGUCCCUCGGGUGGCUCUGAAAAGCUCUUUUGAAAGGUGCAGAGCAUUAUACAAACAAACCACAGUAUCCCAGGCACCAAUCCGCUAGCUCAAGGUUUUUGGAGAGAGAUGGAGGAGGUUGGGCUACCGAAGGCGGGACUCUGAGGCUCGCUGCGCUGUGGUUUACCGGUUACCGAUUGAGGAAUCGCUCAAUCCCUUUCCAAGGUAGCUAACGGUAACUAGGAGUGAGGAUGGAUGGGCAGCAGACUCGCUGAGGAAGGAAGGAAGUUUGAAAGCGAGUAAAUGACGUGGCACCUAAGGGGGCAGGAAAGCGGAUCUGGGGAAAUCACUCUCCUGGCGCUAGUCCCGCCCUCAUUAACACGAGCCUUACCCACCGUCGAAAAGAGGCACGAGCAGAGAAAAAGGAAGAGCCGUAGCCGCACGUACACACGGCGAUGCCCAGCCUACAGCUCGCUCUCGGAGACGAAAAGCGCGGCUGGCGCUGGAGGACUUCCGGGGCUGUGUCCUCAGCUCCCCUCCCUCCCCUGCCGAGUCCUCACUCGGGGCUCGGGAACUACAUCCUCGACGUCAGAAAACCGCGUGGCAGGCUGCAGCCUCCGCCUUCCAGGACAGCACAGCGCCCGAGGAGACUCAGAGAGGCGUUUCCGACCCGGCUUCUAAAGAUGCCGACGGUCCCGGGACCC